Molecule: long non-coding RNA, 1723 nt
Organism: Ornithorhynchus anatinus (platypus)
Lineage: Eukaryota; Metazoa; Chordata; Mammalia; Monotremata; Ornithorhynchidae
Exons: 3
Source: RefSeq, a predicted model, not a curated record
CUGUAGAUCUUUCCCAGCUGGCAGUCCUGUGGAUUGAACUCAAUAAAAGCUAGUUCGUUUUUUUUUUUCCGUUGCAAAAAUCCUAGAGAAAGCCAAACUCCUUGAAUUCCUCAUUGUGGAAUUCCAUUAGGUCAAGAAAAAAGAGCACUGGAAAUCACAACCAUCCAGUAUACCCUCACUCCAUCAACAGAAAGAAGGCUGGCAAGGCAGGUCUGUUUUGGGCCAUUAAGGCUGCUACUGUAGUGAGAGGGAGGAGUCUGAGGCAUUAGUGAUGGAGUGGAACCACAGAACAGUUCAUUUCAACAACAGCCUUCUAGCAAUAUGAAAAACCAUGCCCCAUCACAGAUGUGGCAGGCCAGAAGUUGCCCAUUGCCACAUAAUGAAGAUGUUUGGGAGGUUGUGGCAGUUUUUUCACCCGGAACACAUUUUGUCUGAAUUGCUAUACUGUUCAGCUACUCACAUCAUCUGUUGGCCUCAAAGUGGAAGCAAUUCUGUUUCUUGGUGAAGCACUUUGACAUUUCUGAAUGAGAUAAGUGGAUUUUGUGUUUUCUUUUCUUUCAAGGUUCCUAUUAGGAGUCUAACAUUGAAUGAGUAAUUUUUUUGGUGUUUGUUUUAGAAGCCCUUAUAUCUGCUUGAAACUCCUUUGAUUGGAUGUAGAAACCUGGGGGAGGAGGGGCCUAUGUCUUCAGAAGCAGCAGAUGACUAACAAUUAUUCUGUGUCAAGACAAAAUUACCUUGUAGUAGCAUUGCAUAAUGUCUGGGAUAUUAAUCAUUUGGGAUAUUUUCGCAGUACUCAAUUACAUUAUGAAGGCUGGAUUAUGUUCUGAUCUCUCUAAUGGUCACACAGAAAGGACUGAAGCCUCUAUUAUUUUAUAAUAAGUAAUGCAUACCCCCUGAAUAAUACAUUACACACAUCUUUUCUAUGUGACUCCUAAGGUCAGCUUGUUACCUGAAUAUUUUCAUCCUCCCAGAGCAUUUUGCUUAAAGAGUUUAUUAAAUAGACUUUUUUAUCAUUUCAAUAUGUCUUAACAGCAUGCUAUCACAUACUACUUUUUCUGACUUCUUGAUUUGAUACAAAGUAAAAUUGCAUCAAUAUGGCCAGUGCACAUUCAUUUAGUUAUCAAUUUAAAAGUCUUUCAGAAUCAAACUGAGCCAAUCUUUACACUAAAGACAGCCCCAAAAGAUUCCUAUGAAAAUUACCAUGCAUUUGAAGGUUCCAGAUUUUAAUCUAAUAACUGAAAUAUCAGAAAUAUGUUUUAAUUCAGGCAUUUUGGCAUCACUAACAGGUGUUCACAUUAGAUUUAGGAACCCUGCAGCAAGACUUAUCAUUGUCAAAAAGAAUAUCUUCUUUCAAAACCUUACAAUCCUAAACAUAGAAUCCCCAAAUCUCUUUCAAAUAUCAUUUAUAUUCUAAUAACUUAACCUACCUUAAUUCCCUUGAGCAUUUUGACUAUUUUCACUAGCAUAUACACCCAGCUGAUUUUUAAAAAAAAAAAUUUCAAAGGCUCUUUAAAAGUAUCCUAAAGCCAUGUGCUCCCCAUGAGAAAGCAAGCUCUUUGUAAAGUAAAAAUGCUUUGUACUUUGACGGUCAAUUUUAGUCACCAGCAUCAUCCUCAUAUGUGGAUGGCUGUAAGUCUCAGGAAAUUUGUUUCUCUAAGUUCCAACAAAGUCUUCCAGUUCUAACAUACAUAUAUAUUUUAAUUUGAAGCAGUGUGACAUAGUA